UACGGGGUGCAGCAGGCGCGAAAACUUUACAAUGCGGGCAACCGUGAUAAGGGAACCUCGAGUGCCUGUACAUGCAGGCUGUUCAGGUGUCUAAAACACACCUGAAGAAAGGGCCGGGCAAGACCGGUGCCAGCCGCCGCGGUAAUACCGGCGGCUCGAGUGGUGGCCACUUUUAUUGGGCUUAAAGCGUUCGUAGCUGGGUUGUUAAGUCUCUUGGGAAAUCUGGCGGCUUAACCGUCAGGCGUCUAAGGGAUACUGGCAAUCUUGGAACCGGGAGAGGUGAGGGGUACUUCGGGGGUAGGAGUGAAAUCCUGUAAUCCUCGAGGGACCACCUGUGGCGAAGGCGCCUCACCAGAACGGCUUCGACAGUGAGGGACGAAAGCUGGGGGAGCAAACCGGAUUAGAUACCCGGGUAGUCCCAGCCGUAAACGAUGCGCGUUAGGUGUAUCGGUGACCACGAGUCACCGAGGUGCCGAAGGGAAACCGUGAAACGUGCCGCCUGGGAAGUACGGUCGCAAGGCUGAAACUUAAAGGAAUUGGCGGGGGAGCACCACAACGGGUGGAGCUUGCGGUUUAAUUGGAUUCAACGCCGGAAAUCUUACCGG
Molecule: ribosomal RNA, 605 nt
Filed under: uncultured archaeon
Lineage: Archaea
Description: bacterial SSU rRNA
Rfam family: Archaeal small subunit ribosomal RNA
Source: RNAcentral